AUGUGUUUUGGAAAAAUAAAGAGGGGAUCAGGUCCCAUGGUCCAAUCCAGGAUGGGUGCAUGCAGAUGCAACUUGUGUCCCUGUUUGAUUUCUUCACUUUUGCUAUUUGUAAGUCGCCUGAAAUUUACAUUUGGGCCUGUCACUUUGUUUCUUCUACUAGUACUUAUAAUCUGUUUUUCCUUUUCUUUAUGUGUCAGAUUUUGUGUGCGUGCAUGUGUGCGCCGCAUGCAUGUGCUGGUGUUGUGCGUUGACUUUGAGUAUGUUGUGCAUGUGUUGCGGCCAUGUGUGUCUCUUUAUGUGCAUGCACAUGCGUGUGCUUGUGUUUGA
RNAcentral lists this ribosomal RNA (327 nucleotides) under Triticum aestivum (bread wheat). RNAcentral describes it as "partial small subunit ribosomal RNA". Lineage: Eukaryota; Viridiplantae; Streptophyta; Magnoliopsida; Poales; Poaceae. The record is from RNAcentral.